Molecule: long non-coding RNA, 2589 nt
Organism: Ctenopharyngodon idella (grass carp)
Lineage: Eukaryota; Metazoa; Chordata; Actinopteri; Cypriniformes; Xenocyprididae
Exons: 6
Source: RefSeq, a predicted model, not a curated record
GCUGACGAUAGUGAUACACCUGAAGAUGGAGACCCAGGGACAAACUGACUUGCGGUACCUUGAGACUGGAGUGAUCCACCAUAAGCAGCACCUCCCUGCAGGGUGAGUGGCAGAGAGGACCCAGUCUGGGUGCCAUAGCUAGAGGUAAACUGCUUCCGUGAACUCAGGACUGUGGCAGACUGGCUGGCAGCACCUUGGGGUGAGGAUAGUGGUACACUUGGAUAGGAGGAUGGAGACCCAGGGGCAAACUGACUUGCGGUACCUUGAGGCUGGAGUGAUCCACCAUAAGCAGCACCUCCCUGCAGGGUGAGUGGCAGAGAGGACCCAGUCUGGGUGCCAUAGCUAGAGGUAAACUGCUUCCGUGAACUCAGGACUGUGGCAGACUGGCUGGCAGCACCUUGGGGUGAGGAUAGUGAUACACUUGGAUAGGAGGAUGGAGACCCAGGGGCAAACUGACUUGCAGUACCUUGAGGCUGGAGUGAUCCACCAUAAGUGGUGCUUCCCUGCAGGGUGAGUGGCAGAGAGGACCCUGACUGGGUGCCAGAGCUAGAGGUAAACUGCUUCCGUGAACUCAGGACUGUGGCAGACUGGCUGGCAGCACCUUGGGGUGAGGAUAGUGAUACACUUGGAUAGGAGGAUGGAGACCCAGGGGCAAGCUGACUUGCAGUACCUUGAGGCUGGAGUGAUCCACCAUAAGUGGGGCUUCCCUGCAGGGCAAGUGGCAGAGAGGACCCUGACUGGGUGCCAUAGCUAGAGGUAAACUGCUUCCGUGAACUCAGGACUGUGGCAGACUGGCUGGCAGCACCUUGGGGUGAGGAUAGUGAUACACUUGGAUAGGAGGAUGGAGACCCAGGGGCAAACUGACUUGCAGUACCUUGAGGCUGGAGUGAUCCACCAUAAGUGGUGCUUCCCUGCAGGGUGAGUGGCAGAGAGGACCCUGACUGGGUGCCAGAGCUAGAGGUAAACUGCUUCUGUGAACUAGAGAAGGAUGGAGACCCAGGGGCAAAUUGACUUGUGGUACCUUGAGGCUGUACAGAACCACUGUAAGUGCUACUCAUUCCUUGUGAGGCUAAACCAAUAGAGGUCCCAAACAGAGCCCCCGAGCCACUUGUUGCCUGGCUAUAAACAGCACGUUGUGGCAUGGGAACACUCACAUAUUUGGUAGAUGACGCAGGGGCAUACAGACCCAGAGUGCCCUGAGGCUUCAGAUAUAAGCUAGAAGUAGAGCUACUACCUCCCUGCACAGGGAAACGACUGGAAGUUAAUGGAGUGCCAGGACUGCUUUGGGUGCUUGUGGACUGGCUAGAAACCCUUAUAGGCAAGGGGCCAAACUUCCCAUACAUCAGGGAUCCUGGGGCAUACGGACUAGAGUUAAACAAUUGGGACACACUAUAACUGCCACCUUCUACUUGUGUGGGGAUAAAUUGCCCAGAACUUCCAGACAAUUCAGGCCCAGCACUGCCCUGAGAAGUGGAGCCCUGAGUCUGGGUAGACAAAAUGCUUUGAGAAAGGCUACCCUGAGUAUCUAGAAGUGAAGCAGGACCAGUUGACUGGGAAUCAGAACUGCUUUUAGAGCUACCUAUAAACAAGCUGGGAGAGCCCUGACCAUUAGUAAACUGGCUAGAGACCUCCAAUGAUGAGGGCAGAAGCUGACCAGAGGUUUGAGAUUCAGGAGACAAGUCAGACGAGCUAAGCCCUACCAUUUCCCCUUGAAAGAAAGAGCCAGAAGCUUCCAACAAACUGCCAGAACUAUCCUGAGAGCUAGAACUAUACAGACUGGGGGGACUCUGAUCACUGGUAGACUGACUAGAAACAGAUGAAGAACUGAGCUUGGUAUAGGAGUCUGGGGUAUAGUGACUAGAGGCACCUUGAGACUGAAACAAACGACUGUAACUGCUUUCAUCCUGAGGUGAGAUGGCUUGACUAGAGCCUUCUGAAAGUGGCACUGGGCUACCUUGAGAAGUGUAAGUGGCACCUGGAGCAGAUGAACUGCUGUAGGAGAUACUCUCCUGAGAGAACACAGGCAAAGCGGCUUCCGCAGAUUCAACACCAGAGGUUUCCUGGGAGCUGGACAUGUACAAACUAGGGAAGCUCUGAUCGCUGGUGGACUGGCCAGAAGUGCUUUGUGUAGAAACACUAGCAGUAUCUGUAAUGGUUGUUCCAGAGCCCUGGAGCAAUGUCAAACUGCCUGCUUGCUUUUCACUUAAGGGUAGAGGCAAGGAAGCAAAAACUGAGCUGCUUGGAGCAGUUUGGGCAUAGGACAUCGAUUCAUGGUGGCUGGAAUCAUGACCUUUUACAAACUGGAGCAAGUUAAACCUUUUCAGGGGUCUGUUAGUGAAUAAACUUGAGCCCACUUCUUCAGGCAAAGUCCCAGUCACAGGGACCUCUGAAACAGAUGACUGGACUGCAUGAGGUGAGAAAGUAUUGUCAGAAGGUUGACCCCACCGCUGGUGGGCAUUUGAAUAAGCUCCACCUGUGAAUUAGACAAAAUAAAAAGCUUUGUAGACGGACCUCAUAAUUUAAAAAAAAAAAAACAAACAAAAAAACCCCAAGACAAGGAGAAAGAAAUUACCUUUAAAUCCAUAAGCA